CUUGACUGUAGCUUGGAAUUGGGUUCGGGCUCUUCUUGCGCAGCCUAGGUGGGAGGCGUUGAAAGCUUUCUUUUGGGGAAGCUGGAGCCAUCAGUGAGAGACCACUCUGGAGGAGCUAGAAUUCUAAUGGCGUUCCUUGAAGCAGGACGCUUGACAGUUUCAGGUGGGCAGUUUGACUGGGGCGGUCACCUCCUAAAAGGUGACGGAGGUGUGCAAAGGUUCCCUCAGGCUGGACGGAAAUCAGCCGUAGAGUGUAAAGGCAGAAGGGAGCUUGACUGCAAGACCUACAAGUCGAGCAGGGGCGAAAGCCGGCCUUAGUGACCCGACGGUUCCAUGUGGAAGGGCCGUCGCUCAACGGAUAAAAGUUA
RNAcentral lists this ribosomal RNA (368 nucleotides) under uncultured organism. Its description in RNAcentral is "bacterial LSU rRNA". It matches the Rfam family "Bacterial large subunit ribosomal RNA", at positions 2099 to 2465 of the family's 2925-position model. The record is from RNAcentral.